This 24-nucleotide non-coding RNA is filed under the name Arabidopsis thaliana (thale cress). Lineage: Eukaryota; Viridiplantae; Streptophyta; Magnoliopsida; Brassicales; Brassicaceae. The record is from RNAcentral.
GAUGCACAUGUUAUGUUUGUCGUA